Molecule: long non-coding RNA, 1067 nt
Organism: Manis pentadactyla (Chinese pangolin)
Lineage: Eukaryota; Metazoa; Chordata; Mammalia; Pholidota; Manidae
Exons: 3
Source: RefSeq, a predicted model, not a curated record
UCCAUUUGUGUGACUUUAACAAGGUAGAUUUUCUCAGCUUGCAAUUAUGGGGAAAAUAUGUCUUUAACAGUUGAGCUAUGGGAGGCAGAGAAUUAUAACAGGUUUAACUGGUUUUGAUGAGGAAAAGCCUAGGAAGAGCUAGUUUCGACUUGAUGAAGGACAGGAAAGGCUGGUUGUGGUAGAUUAAUGGAUAGGCAGGUACUUCAGUGUGUGUCCUUCCUGGUGUUUUGGGUCUGGGACCAUCACUCAGUGCUCACCAUUAAGACACUUGAGUGGAGCAGUUUUCACUGACAGUUCUGUCUCUGUCAUCCAGUUCUGAUCUUCCUGUGAUUUUUCCGGUGUAGUGAGAUCAAGGACACAGGACCCUGAGAGUGCCUCUGUCGGUUUUCAGUUGCUGUGCAAAGGAUUAGUGAAAAAACUCCAUCUAACAUGAUGAGUGUCUCAGAAAUACACCCCAUCAGAGAAUUCAUGGAAGACCCAGACUUCCUAUGGAAAGGCCUUCAAAAAAUAAGAUAGGUCCUCCUGCUGAAUGUGACUACAGACCCUUGACUACAGGACCGAAAACCUCUUAUAAAAAACAGAAAAAGGCGACUGAAAUAACAACUGGAUAUGUAAUACACGGAUUAGUAUACAGACUGGGGUUUCAAUACCACUAUGGAGAGCUUUGGGAGAGUAGUGAUUCCUGAAGAUAUUCGUCGAAGCUGUCCUGCCACAUGGCCACCACUAGAGGGCGGAGCAGACCACUUUCAAGCGUUUUCUCCAGAGGUGAGUUCAAAGGAAGUCACUAUGGACAAAAGGCUAAAUGCUCAGCAGAUAUUCUCCCUGAGAAGUUUGUCCACCUCCUAACUACCCAAGGUGUGAAUCACCUCUAAAGUUUAGGGGCACAGGAAGAGCUGGCAAGCACUAUGAAUUGCAUUGAAACUUAGUAUUUCAUUGGAAGAAAAGAUUCUUGCCUUUGAUAACCUUCAUUUAUUAAAAUAUUUCAGCCCUUGCCAUGUGCCAGAGGAAAUAAAUAGAAGUAGCUCUUUGUCAUUUCCCUCCACAGGCUUACAGUGUAGGUGGCAAGG